CCAAACUCUCCCACUCUCUCUUCUAGAAGCUGCAGGGGCCUUGGGGACAACAAAUGAGAAAUGUCUAAAAAUGUGUCGCUGCUUUAUAUUUUAAUCCCUUUUAUUGAAAUGUUUCCUUUUUCAUAGGUUUUUUUCGGACUGCCAUCUUUCUCUCUCUCCCUCUCCUGGAGCUGCAGCUCCAUCCCCGAGGCUUUGCUGAGAGCCCGAAAAUAGAAACCUGUUCUCAUUGGUCCAGGCCCCCCCUCCAUCCUUUUGUGAUGCCGAUGAUUGAGCUCAGAAGCCACGAGGACCCUCAGAAGGACACCUGUUCUGGAAAGGGUGGCAGCUUCGAGAGAAAUGACUGAUUUGUAGCAGACUAGAGAACUGGUGCUUGCUGGCCCAGCAGAGGUACGCUGCCGUGCGGUGAGGGGCCACGUGGCAGAGACCCGAGGGUGGCCUCAGGGAGCCGAGAGCCGCCCCAGCUGGCGGCCAGCAGGAACUGGUGCCCCCGACCGCAGGAGGUGAGCUCCACCAGACAGAACGGCAGCUCUGCCUUUGCAGGAAAACAGCUCCACGGCAGACGGCUCUUCCUAGGC
Molecule: long non-coding RNA, 575 nt
Organism: Equus quagga
Lineage: Eukaryota; Metazoa; Chordata; Mammalia; Perissodactyla; Equidae
Exons: 3
Source: RefSeq, a predicted model, not a curated record